Molecule: long non-coding RNA, 388 nt
Filed under: Homo sapiens (human)
Lineage: Eukaryota; Metazoa; Chordata; Mammalia; Primates; Hominidae
Description: HSALNT0028669
Source: RNAcentral
GAUGACAGCUUAAUGAGAGGGGGAGAUAAUACUCCUGCAUUUUCUAUAACUCGUGUGUGCUUUUAUGCCUCUCUGAAAGGCAAAAGUGCAGAUUCACUGUCAAAUAUGUCUCCCGUGGUCCAUCUCAUGCCCACUCGAGAUACUUCCUCCACAAAAAUAGAAGGUAACAGAUAGGCUGCCAGGAAGCAUGGAAUCCACAGGACAGGACACCUUUGACAACACUGUGAGCUACCUCAUUGUGAGCAGAAGUGUGGGAAAUAAAAGACAGAGCAUCCAUAUCAGGUCCAGAGAAACAUUAGACCCUGGAAAAAGCUAAUUCAAACAGCUCUGCUUCUAUGAGUCUAUGCCAUUUACUCCCAUCAAAGACUGGGCUGAGCUGGAAGAGUGA